ACGGGUGAGUAACGCGUGGGAAUCUACCCAUCCCUACGGAACAACUCCGGGAAACUGGAGCUAAUACCGUAUACGCCCUUUGGGGGAAAGAUUUAUCGGGGAUGGAUGAGCCCGCGUUGGAUUAGCUAGUUGGUGGGGUAAAGGCCUACCAAGGCGACGAUCCAUAGCUGGUCUGAGAGGAUGAUCAGCCACAUUGGGACUGAGACACGGCCCAAACUCCUACGGGAGGCAGCAGUGGGGAAUAUUGGACAAUGGGCGCAAGCCUGAUCCAGCCAUGCCGCGUGAGUGAUGAAGGUCUUAGGAUUGUAAAGCUCUUUCACCGGAGAAGAUAAUGACGGUAUCCGGAGAAGAAGCCCCGGCUAACUUCGUGCCAGCAGCCGCGGUAAUACGAAGGGGGCUAGCGUUGUUCGGAAUUACUGGGCGUAAAGCGCACGUAGGCGGAUAUUUAAGUCAGGGGUGAAAUCCCAGAGCUCAACUCUGGAACUGCCUUUGAUACUGGGUAUCCUGAGUAUGGAAGAGGUAAGUGGAAUUGCGAGUGUAGAGGUGAAAUUCGUAGA
Molecule: ribosomal RNA, 557 nt
Filed under: uncultured Rhizobium sp.
Lineage: Bacteria; Pseudomonadati; Pseudomonadota; Alphaproteobacteria; Hyphomicrobiales; Rhizobiaceae
Description: bacterial SSU rRNA
Rfam family: Bacterial small subunit ribosomal RNA
Source: RNAcentral